Molecule: long non-coding RNA, 498 nt
Organism: Triticum dicoccoides
Lineage: Eukaryota; Viridiplantae; Streptophyta; Magnoliopsida; Poales; Poaceae
Exons: 2
Source: RefSeq, a predicted model, not a curated record
CAAGGAAAUAUGGAUUUGAACUGGGCGGUUCGACGGCAAACUCAGGCAACGGCAAGAUGCGGCAACCAGCAGGGUUCGGCGGCGACGGAGGCGAGAUGCCACCGGCAGCCAGCUCUUCCCGGAGGAGAUGCUAGGUAAUCUGAAUCGGAAUUUGGACUACAUGCAAGCUGUGUUUCGCCCGCCGUCGCCGCUUCUCCGUGCAAGGCAUGCAUAGCGGCUUGCUUUUUCCUUGACACGAGUACACCUACACAACGCAGUGGAUUUCGACAAUGUGACAUGGCGAUCUAGAUCAAUCUGGCAUGAUUGAUCCACUGUGCAACAGCCAUGCAUGGACAACAUGAGACAUACGUGAUGCAAAAUUAGGCAAAUUUUGUUUUGUUAUCUGGGUAGGAAAAUACCGAUAUAAAAAAUGAAUUGUGCUCCCAUAUUGUAUUCUUAAUCUAUUAAUUGUACUACUCCUUUAUGUAAUAUACCUUUUGAAAUAAUUAUACUUGAUUA